GGCUCGAUGGCGGAGGACCGCGUCUGCAUCUGGUAACUGUUCAACAGUUCACUUAUGCAGGAGGCCCCGUUCGACUCGGGGUCGGGCUA
Molecule: non-coding RNA, 89 nt
Organism: Mycena latifolia
Lineage: Eukaryota; Fungi; Basidiomycota; Agaricomycetes; Agaricales; Mycenaceae
Source: the annotation of a GenBank genome assembly